Molecule: transfer RNA, 92 nt
Filed under: Actinorhabdospora filicis
Lineage: Bacteria; Bacillati; Actinomycetota; Actinomycetes; Micromonosporales; Micromonosporaceae
Description: tRNA-Gln
Source: RNAcentral
GCGCGCGAUGGCGCGGUUGCCCGCCAGCCUCUGAAGCCGGACCAGGUCCACGGCGACGGGGCCUUGCGACGGGGCCCGCCGUCCGGCCGUGC